This is a long non-coding RNA of Felis catus (domestic cat), 3953 nucleotides long. RefSeq lists it as uncharacterized. The transcript is spliced from 3 exons. Lineage: Eukaryota; Metazoa; Chordata; Mammalia; Carnivora; Felidae. The record is from RefSeq and is a predicted model, not a curated record.
AGCCCGAGGCAGGGCUCGAACUCAGGGACCACGAGAUCGUGACCUGAGCCAAAGUUGGACGCUUAACCAACUGAGCCACCCAGGCGCCCCGAAACAAACAAUAUUUAGACCAGCAACGCACCCAAUGAAAAAUACUGACCUUUCUCCUAUCUCUGGUAGUUAGGGGUGGCCAAGCACGUGUGUGAGUAUGUAUUUACGUGUGCAUGUAUACGUGUAAGAAAUGAAAUGUGUGUGUGUGAAAUGAAAUCAUGACCUAUAGGCUGAAGUCCCUGGGAAGGCUUGGAAACAAGCCUUGGGAGGAGGUGGUUUUGCUUUGAUUGCCUGCAGGAAGGAAUACUUGGCAGUGGAGGAGACAUCGUGAGUCCAGGAGGCCAAACACCACACAAGGACUAUGAAGGAAAACGCUGCAAGGAGCCAGCAUGUAGUCACCCCAGUUUUGGACUACUGAAUUAUGGAUUUCUUGUUAUGGGAGGAGAACGGCCCCUUUUCAGUUAAGUUCUUUGGUGAGGUCUCUAUUCCAGGUAGGCAAGUGCAAUCCUAACUGACCCCAGUGUCUUGGCCCCAGCCAUAGGUCUAGCGGUGACAGAGUCAGCAUGAAAGCACAGACUUGUCUCCCCCCAAAUGCCAUGUCCUCUCUGGGCUACCGUGUACCUAUAAGGCUUUUGCCUCUGCAAACGCCUUCUCAUGUUCACCCCCUGCCUAUUGGGAAAGUGUUCAGGGGCUCAUAGAACUCUGGACUUGGCACUGUAUUUCUAUGUGUAUUCUGCACAAUAUUUGGUUUUUCCAUGCUCCAUUCAGAUCUGACUGCACAACUAAGCCACGGACCUUCGUGAGCCGGCUCCCCAGUGCAGGUUCCUAGAACUUAACAUUCUCUUCAGAGAACAGAACUGUAGAGCUUGUUACUAAGCCACUCUGGCUUUAUUUUUCUUACAAGAAAUAAGUCCUUGUAGCCCUAGGAAGCCAGCUUGACCACACUCAGGAGAUUGGAAGCCCAACCCCACAUCGUACCCUGCUGACGGCUUCCUGCUGAUUUUUCCUUUCAUGUAUGGAUUUGCUUAUUCUUGACCUCCUCCCCACCCCCAAAAAACCUUUUUUCUGACAGACACACUGUCUGAUAGCUUUUCUGUUACUGCUGACAUUUAGAAUAAAAUGCCCUGAUCUGUCAGCUGCUGCAUCUGGGGCUUGCCCCUACUGGCCUCACAUUCAGUAUGUGGGUCUGGGAUGUUCCCGGGCUGUCCCAGCUGGCCAGAAUUAACUAAGUUGAGCCUACCUGUGUCCUGAGUACCACACACACACACACACACACACACACACACACUGUAGAAGAAUUAUUCAGGUGAGCCACUUUGUGGCAUUUCCCAUAUGGCAACAUGACAUGAAUUAUCAGUGACUAAUGUUCUUCUCACAAAAUCACUGCUAAAGGCACAGAUUCCUGCUUCAGGGACAUACAAGAGACACUGCUUUAGGAGAACAAAGUACUGCCGUAGAACAACAGUGCAUCACCCACUACACCUUCAAAGAACAGAAAGCUCUAAAUUGUCUUUCUCUCAAAGGAGAAACUCACCCUCAGGAAAAAGCAUAUGAGAAAGUGCAAUUCCUUUACCACAAGCUUCUUUCAGCUCUGGUUCUCGCUAUAGUGUGCCCGAGGUAAGCACAGAAGAUAGACUCAAACAUAUUCAAAACUCAGUCUUUCUUUCAAUUCUUUGAAACAUUACAGCAUUGUUGCAAAUGUAUAUAAGAGGAAGCAAACUCUGUUUUGGUUAUCUAUCUAUGUAACAAACCAUCUCAACACUUAGAACCUUAAAACAGCGACUGUUUUGAUUUUCUCUUACAAUUCUGUGGGUUGGCUGGAAUCAGGCAUGUGGUUCUUCUGCCCGCCCCCGCCUCCCGAUGCCUGCUGGGGCUGCAGUCAUCCCAGGGCUUAACUGACUGGUUGGUCCAAGAUGGUUCAUUCACAACUCUGGUGCCUUGGCAGGGACAGAUGGAAGGCUGGCACCAGCCAGGAUUCUGGGACAGCUGAGCCACUUUCUCACCCUAUGUAGUCUCAGGUCUAAUCUCUUUCCAUAUGACCUCUCCAUGUGGUAUUUCCAGCAGGGUAACUGGACUUCUUAAAUGGCAGAUUCCUCACAAAAGAAGAAACUUCCAGGCUUCCUUAAGUCUUAGGCUCAGUAACUGACACAGUGUCACUUCCAUUUCAUUGUAUGAGUUCCUGAGUCUCAGGGCCAGUCCAGAGUCAAUAUGGGACUAGACUGCAUAGCAGCAUGAGAGGCAUGGUCUAUUGAGAGCCAUCUUGGGAAAGUGACUACUGCAUUGAUAUUCACUCUAUGGAAUGUGGAAAUGACACUUGAUAUGUUAAAUCAUGCUUUGUGGAAGAAAACGUGUUGACUUAUUAGCUCUGUGAAUCAUCAAGAUGCAUAGAUAUUGGGAGCAUCUAGAAGCUACACAUAUCCAGUGAAUCUAAGUGUUUCAAAAACAUGAUCAGGACCUCUAGGGGGGAAAAUCACAUUUUAUUCAAUGGUUACAUACACAAGAAAUAAAGCUCGGUAAAUAGAUGGGUAAAUUUAAUAUUCUCAGUAUAGCAAGUUAGUAAUAUCAUGUAUUGGAUAUUUAUUAAGAAUAGGCACUGGGCCAUCAUUAUUUAUACAUGAUUUUACUUAAUCUUUACAAAUACUCUAUGGGGCGAGUAUUAUUACCUCAAAUUUCCACAUGAGAAACUAAAGUUCCAUGAGAUUUUGUAACAUGUAAGAUUGAACAUGUAGUAAUUGGAUGAGUCAAGAUGUAUACCCAAGUUGACCUGAUAUUGAAACCCUUGCGUUUUUAAACUCUAUCAUUUUACUUGUUUUGUCUUUGCUCACUGUUUUCUUAAAUUGUUACAGAAUAAUCGUCCUUUUAAGUGGAAACAAGAGCCACAUCUCAUAUUCCCAUCUCUAAAGAUUUAGAACCCAUUUCCUACUUAGACAGCCUGCUGAAGUCAAGAUUUUAAAAUCCAGUUUUUAUCUUGGCAUGAUAGUCCAGACCAUUUCCCAGCGCUCUCAUAUCUACAAACAUAUGCCUCUGUGCUUAAACUUGAACUUCAUCCAAACCCCAAGGUUAUUAGUGAGUAAAAUCCUCCUUCUGGUUUUAUCUAGGUAUCUGGAAAGUUUCCCUUUGGCACUAGAGCCGUGAAUCACAACUUCUCAUUCGUGCCAUCUAAGGACAGAGAAAUGGAAUACCUGUGCUUGCAUUUUGCGGUAACGUGAUUUUGGAAACGUCUCACCAAAAAUCAGAACUCGAGAAGAGAAUAAACAUACCGAUUACUUGCAUGGCCGGUUCCACGUCUGUUGUGGCCUCUUCCAACAAUGACAGCAGCUUGGCUGAUAUCUGAUGCACGGAUUCAAUGUUGCUAAACAAGCUAUCCACGUCCAGCCGAUCAAUCUGAAGAAACACAAACACUGAGCACCAGCUGAUGGAGAGAGACGCACUGUAUUUAGGACAUUUUCUCCUGCUAAACAGCUAACUUGUGUCUUCCUGGACUGAAAAGACAUGAAUCAGACGUAGAGAAAGAAAUCAUGGAGGAGGUACAAUAGAGCAAAGAUAGUCUUCUCACCAAGAGGAAAGACACGGACCAGAUGAUUUCCCAAAGUUCUCUUCCACCCUAACUUGUACAUGUAUAAUAUUUAUUUACGUUGCCUCAGGUUUCUCAGCAUGGUUUGCAGAUCGUUCCCCUGGUUACAUAAACACUGUCUAUAUUAAUUUAUAAAUUUUGACACUAACUGGUGACAAGCGGUUUGUAUGCAAAGACUUUGGUAUUUAAACGGUUAGAACGGAAGCGAGGACACGAAGGAGCUAACGAACAUCGAAAAGGUGGCAAAUACACUCAUGGCAUAAAUUAACUACCUUGGCAUUCAUAGAUGUUUCGUCUGUAUUCCUGAGCAUCUAUUUGAAGUUUUUUGGUUUUUUUUUAGAGAGAGAGA